This 468-nucleotide ribosomal RNA is filed under the name uncultured bacterium. RNAcentral's name for it is "partial 16S ribosomal RNA". It matches the Rfam family "Bacterial small subunit ribosomal RNA", at positions 28 to 507 of the family's 1533-position model. The record is from RNAcentral.
GACGAACGCUGGCGGCGUGCUUAACACAUGCAAGUCGAACGGAAAGGCCCUGCUUUUGUGGGGUGCUCGAGUGGCGAACGGGUGAGUAACACGUGAGUAACCUGCCCUUGACUUUGGGAUAACUUCAGGAAACUGGGGCUAAUACCGGAUAGGAGCUCCUGCUGCAUGGGGGGGGUUGGAAAGUUUCGGCGGUUGGGGAUGGACUCGCGGCUUAUCAGCUUGUUGGUGGGGUAGUGGCUUACCAAGGCUUUGACGGGUAGCCGGCCUGAGAGGGUGACCGGCCACAUUGGGACUGAGAUACGGACCAGACUGCUACGGGAGGCAGCAGUGGGGAAUAUUGCACAAUGGGCGGAAGCCUGAUGCAGCAACGCCGCGUGCGGGAUGACGGCCUUCGGGUUGUAAACCGCUUUCGCCUGUGACGAAGCGUGAGUGACGGUAAUGGGUAAAGAAGCACCGGCUAACUACGUG